RNAcentral lists this ribosomal RNA (573 nucleotides) under Oscillatoria sp. MOR219. RNAcentral describes it as "bacterial SSU rRNA". It matches the Rfam family "Bacterial small subunit ribosomal RNA", at positions 114 to 718 of the family's 1533-position model. The record is from RNAcentral. Lineage: Bacteria; Bacillati; Cyanobacteriota; Cyanophyceae; Oscillatoriales; Oscillatoriaceae.
CGCGUGAGAAUCUGCCUUCGGGUCUGGGAUAACAGUUGGAAACGACUGCUAAUACCGGAUGUGCCUACGGGUGAAAGAUUAAUNCGCCAGAAGAUGAGCUCGCGUCUGAUUAGCUAGUUGGUGGGGUAAAAGCCUACCAAGGCGACGAUCAGUAGCUGGUCUGAGAGGAUGAGCAGCCACACUGGGACUGAGACACGGCCCAGACUCCUACGGGAGGCAGCAGUGGGGAAUUUUCCGCAAUGGGCGAAAGCCUGACGGAGCAAGACCGCGUGAGGGAGGANAGGCCUUUGGGUUGUAAACCUCUUUUGUCAGGGAAGAAAAAAAUGACGGUACCUGACGAAUCAGCCUCGGCUAACUCCGUGCCAGCAGCCGCGGUAAUACGGAGGAGGCAAGCGUUAUCCGGAAUCAUUGGGCGUAAAGCGUCCGUAGGUGGCCAAGUAAGUCUGCUGUCAAAGACCACAGCUUAACUGUGGAAAGGCAGUGGAAACUGCGGGGCUAGAGUGCGGUAGGGGUAGAGGGAAUUCCAGGUGUAGCGGUGAAAUGCGUAGAGCUCUGGAAGAACACCGGUGGAGA